GUAACACGUAUGUAACCUACCUUCACCAGGGGGAUAGCCUCUCGAAAGAGAGAUUAAGACCGAUAACAUUAUAGGAUAGCAUUAUUUUAUAAUCAAAUAUUUAUAGGGUGAAGAUGGGCAUGCGGAACAUUAGCUAGUUGGUAAGGUAAUGGCUUACCAAGGCUACGAUGUUUAGGGGAUCUGAGAGGAUGACCCCCCACACUGGUACUGAGACACGGACCAGACUCCUACGGGAGGCAGCAGUAAGGAAUAUUGGUCAAUGGGCGGAAGCCUGAACCAGCCAUGCCGCGUGCAGGAAGACGGCCCUACGGGUUGUAAACUGCUUUUAUACGGGAAUAAACCUACUUACGUGUAAGUAGCUGAAUGUACUGUAAGAAUAAGGAUCGGCUAACUCCGUGCCAGCAGCCGCGGUAAUACGGAGGAUCCAAGCGUUAUCCGGAUUUAUUGGGUUUAACAGGGUGCGUAGGUGGCCUGUUAAGUCAGGGGUGAAAGACGGUAGCUUAACUAUCGCAGUUGCCCUUGAUACUGAUGGGCUUGAAUGAACUAGAGG
Molecule: ribosomal RNA, 550 nt
Filed under: uncultured bacterium
Lineage: Bacteria
Description: bacterial SSU rRNA
Rfam family: Bacterial small subunit ribosomal RNA
Source: RNAcentral